Haliotis rubra (blacklip abalone) is the source of this 100-nucleotide long non-coding RNA. RefSeq lists it as uncharacterized. NCBI's taxonomy places the organism in Eukaryota, Metazoa, Mollusca, Gastropoda, Lepetellida, Haliotidae. The transcript has 5 exons. The record is from RefSeq and is a predicted model, not a curated record.
CCAUUCUUCGUCCUCCUGUAUGGAAGAAAAGAUCCAUAUUAGUAUAACUGUAUUGUCAGCAUUGUAAUAAAUAUAGGACAAGAUAAAUGACUAGUAAUUA